UGAAGGUGAUCUUGUGUGGGCCGCAUCGUUGUAGUGGGCUAGAAGAAGGGCGUAAAAGGAAUAGGCUAGGCCUACGAUCCAGUGGGUUAAAAUAGAAAAUUUAGGAAAAAGAAAAAUGAGUUGUUGGGCUGGGCUGAGAAGAAAGGACUUUGGCCUAGAGUUACACUUUGGGAUUUUGGUUCAGAGUUAAACAUUUGGUUUAGAAAUAUUUUAUGAGAAUUUUCCAUCUUUGGUUUUUAUUCAAAUUUGAAUAUAUUUUGAAUUAUAGAAAAUUUUCAGGAUAGAUAUAGGGUUUGGAGCAAACAAAUGCAUCACAUGUGUUGAAC
This 326-nucleotide long non-coding RNA is filed under the name Setaria viridis. Its description in RNAcentral is "long non-coding RNA (SVIR_LNC008180)". The record is from RNAcentral. Lineage: Eukaryota; Viridiplantae; Streptophyta; Magnoliopsida; Poales; Poaceae.